RNAcentral lists this transfer RNA (69 nucleotides) under uncultured Eubacterium sp. It matches the Rfam family "tRNA". From Rfam's summary of the family: Transfer RNA (tRNA) molecules are approximately 80 nucleotides in length. Their secondary structure includes four short double-helical elements and three loops (D, anti-codon, and T loops). Lineage: Bacteria; Bacillati; Bacillota; Clostridia; Eubacteriales; Eubacteriaceae. The record is from RNAcentral.
AACUGUAGUCUAACGGAUAGAACGCAGGACUCCGACUCCUGUAAUGUGGGUUCGAUUCCCGCCAGUUGC